AGAGUUUGAUCAUGGCUCAGAUUGAACGCUGGCGGCAUGCCUUACACAUGCAAGUCGAACGGUAACAGGGAGCUUGCUCCGCUGACGAGUGGCGAACGGGUGAGUAAUGUAUCGGAACGUACCAUUCAGUGGGGGAUAACGUAGCGAAAGUUACGCUAAUACCGCAUAUUCUGUGAGCAGGAAAGUAGGGGAUCGCAAGACCUUGCGCUGAUUGAGCGGCCGAUAUCAGAUUAGCUAGUUGGUGAGGUAAAGGCUCACCAAGGCGACGAUCUGUAGCGGGUCUGAGAGGAUGAUCCGCCACACUGGAACUGAGACACGGUCCAGACUCCUACGGGAGGCAGCAGUGGGGAAUUUUGGACAAUGGGGGCAACCCUGAUCCAGCCAUGCCGCGUGAGUGAAGAAGGCCUUCGGGUUGUAAAGCUCUUUCGGCCGGGAAAAAAUCGCAUCAGUUAAUACCUGGUGUGGAUGAUGGUACCGGAAUAAGAAGCACCGGCUAACUACGUGCCAGCAGCCGCGGUAAUACGUAGGGUGCGAGCGUUAAUCGGAAUUACUGGGCGUAAAGCGUGCGCAGGCGGUUUGAUAAGACAGGCGUGAAAUCCCCGGGCUCAACCUGGGAACUGCGUUUGUGACUGUCUCACUAGAGUACGGCAGAGGGGGGUGGAAUUCCACGUGUAGCAGUGAAAUGCGUAGAGAUGUGGAGGAACACCAAUGGCGAAGGCAGCCCCCUGGGUCGAUACUGACGCUCAUGCACGAAAGCGUGGGUAGCAAACAGGAUUAGAUACCCUGGUAGUCCACGCCCUAAACGAUGUCAACUAGGUGUUGGGAGGGUAAAACCUUUUAGUACCGUAGCUAACGCGAGAAGUUGACCGCCUGGGGAGUACGGCCGCAAGGUUAAAACUCAAGGAAUUG
This 909-nucleotide ribosomal RNA is filed under the name uncultured bacterium. RNAcentral's name for it is "bacterial SSU rRNA". It matches the Rfam family "Bacterial small subunit ribosomal RNA", at positions 8 to 912 of the family's 1533-position model. The record is from RNAcentral.